UGUAUUUUGGGGUGAUACUUGGUGUUCUAAUGGUAUGAGAACAUUAAGAUCCCACUUGAUUUCUGAGUUGCCGCUUUUAUGUCAUAGCUUCUUACUCCUGAAGAUGUCCCAAACUGGGGACGAAAUAUAGAGUAUGAGAACGAA
Long non-coding RNA from Coccinella septempunctata (seven-spotted ladybird), 144 nucleotides. RefSeq lists it as uncharacterized. The transcript is spliced from 2 exons. The record is from RefSeq and is a predicted model, not a curated record. Lineage: Eukaryota; Metazoa; Arthropoda; Insecta; Coleoptera; Coccinellidae.